Molecule: ribosomal RNA, 50 nt
Filed under: Habronattus oregonensis
Lineage: Eukaryota; Metazoa; Arthropoda; Arachnida; Araneae; Salticidae
Description: partial 12S ribosomal RNA
Source: RNAcentral
CAAAAUAAGGCAAGUCGUAACACAGUUGAUAUUUUGGAAAAAGUAUCAAG